UUAAAGAGUGCGUAAUAGCUCACUGGUCGAGAGACGCUGCGCCGAAAAUGUCCGGGGCUCAAGCACGGAACCGAAGCUAUGGCAUUGCUUAGGCAAUGGGUAGGGGAGCGUUCUUACCAGGGUGAAGCAGUACCGUAAGGAGCUGUGGACAGGUAAGAAGUGAGAAUGCUGGCAUGAGUAUCGAAAAGAAAGGUGAGAAUCCUUUCCACCGAAAGCCCGAGGGUUCCUGAGCAACGAUCGUCGUCUCAGGGUAAGUCGGGACCUAAGCCGAGGCGGAGAAGCGUAGGCGAUGGACAACAGGUUGAAAUUCCUGUACUGCUUUAUGUCGUCUGAGUGAUGGAGUGACGCAGGAGGGCACAUGAUCGCGCGAUUGGAAGAGCGCGUCCAAGCAUGUAGUUUGAAUAUGAGUAAAAUGCCAUAUUCUGAAAGACGAGAUGUGACGGGGAAUUAGAGGAAACUCUGAGGAACUCAUGGAUCCCACACUGCCGAGAAAAGCUUCUAGCGAGACAUAAGGCACCCGUACCGUAAACCGACACAGGUAGGCGGGGAGAGAAUCCUAAGGUGCGCGGGAAAACCCUCGUUAAGGAACUCGGCAAAUUGCAUCCGUAACUUCGGGAAAAGGAUGACCCUGAGUAGGCGAAGGACAGAAACGUCCGGAACCGGAAAGGGUGGCAGAAAAGAGGCCCAAGCAACUGUUUACCAAAAACACAGGUGCCUGCGAAAGCGAAAGCUGAAGUAUAGGUGCUGACGCCUGCCCGGUGCUGGAAGGUUAAGGAGAGAUGUCAGCGAAAGCGAAGCAUUGAACUGAAGCCCCAGUGAACGGCGGCCGUAACUAUAACGGUCCUAAGGUAGCGAAAUUCCUUGUCGGGCAAGUUCCGACCCGCAUGAAAGGCGUAAUGAUUUGGGCACUGUCUCAACGAGGGGCCCGGUGAAAUUGAAAUACCUGUGAAGAUGCAGGUUACCCGCGACUGGACAGAAAGACCCCAUGGAGCUUUACUGCAGCUUGAGACGGAAUUCCGGUGAUAGAUGCACAGGAUAGGUGGGAGGCUUAGAGUACCGGACUUUGGUCUGGUAGGAGCCGCUGUUGGGAUACCACCCUUCUGUUGCUGGAAUUCUAACGCGAAGAGUAACGACCUUGCGGACAAUCUCAGGCAGGCGGUUUGACUGGGGCGGUCGCCUCCGAAAGAGUAA
RNAcentral lists this ribosomal RNA (1191 nucleotides) under human gut metagenome. Its description in RNAcentral is "bacterial LSU rRNA". It matches the Rfam family "Bacterial large subunit ribosomal RNA", at positions 1123 to 2300 of the family's 2925-position model. The record is from RNAcentral.